RNAcentral lists this ribosomal RNA (472 nucleotides) under uncultured haloarchaeon. RNAcentral's name for it is "bacterial SSU rRNA". It matches the Rfam family "Archaeal small subunit ribosomal RNA", at positions 1 to 474 of the family's 1478-position model. Lineage: Archaea; Methanobacteriati; Methanobacteriota; Halobacteria; Halobacteriales; Halobacteriaceae. The record is from RNAcentral.
AUUCCGGUUGAUCCCGCCGGAGGCCAUUGCUAUCGGAGUCCGAUUUAGCCAUGCUAGUCGCGCGGGUUUAGACCCGCGGCAUAUAGCUCAGUAACACGUGGCCAAACUACCCUACAGACCGCGAUAACCUCGGGAAACUGAGGCCAAUAGCGGAUAUUACUCUCAUGCUGGAGUGCAGAGAGUGAGAAACGUUCCGGCGCUGUAGGAUGUGGCUGCGGCCGAUUAGGUAGAUGGUGGGGUAACGGCCCACCAUGCCCAUAAUCGGUACAGGUUGUGAGAGCAAGAGCCUGGAGACGGUAUCUGAGACAAGAUACCGGGCCCUACGGGGCGCAGCAGGCGCGAAACCUUUACACUGCACGAGAGUGCGAUAGGGGGACUCCGAGUGCGAGGGCAUAUAGUCCUCGCUUUUCUGUACCGUAAGGUGGUACAGGAACAAGUGCUGGGCAAGACCGGUGCCAGCCGCCGCGGUAAU